This 791-nucleotide ribosomal RNA is filed under the name Acinetobacter radioresistens. RNAcentral's name for it is "bacterial SSU rRNA". It matches the Rfam family "Bacterial small subunit ribosomal RNA", at positions 56 to 843 of the family's 1533-position model. The record is from RNAcentral. Lineage: Bacteria; Pseudomonadati; Pseudomonadota; Gammaproteobacteria; Moraxellales; Moraxellaceae.
UGCAGUCGAGCGGAUGAGGUAGCUUGCUACCGGAUUCAGCGGCGGACGGGUGAGUAAUGCUUAGGAAUCUGCCUAUUAGUGGGGGACAACGUUCCGAAAGGAGCGCUAAUACCGCAUACGUCCUACGGGAGAAAGCAGGGGACCUUUGGGCCUUGCGCUAAUAGAUGAGCCUAAGUCGGAUUAGCUAGUUGGUAGGGUAAAGGCCUACCAAGGCGACNAUCUGUAGCGGGUCUGAGAGGAUGAUCCGCCACACUGGGACUGAGACACGGCCCAGACUCCUACGGGAGGCAGCAGUGGGGAAUAUUGGACAAUGGGGGGAACCCUGAUCCAGCCAUGCCGCGUGUGUGAAGAAGGCCUUUUGGUUGUAAAGCACUUUAAGCGAGGAGGAGGCUACCUAGAUUAAUACUUUAGGAUAGUGGACGUUACUCGCAGAAUAAGCACCGGCUAACUCUGUGCCAGCAGCCGCGGUAAUACAGAGGGUGCGAGCGUUAAUCGGAUUUACUGGGCGUAAAGCGUGCGUAGGCGGCCAAUUAAGUCAAAUGUGAAAUCCCCGAGCUUAACUUGGGAAUUGCAUUCGAUACUGGUUGGCUAGAGUAUGGGAGAGGAUGGUAGAAUUCCAGGUGUAGCGGUGAAAUGCGUAGAGAUCUGGAGGAAUACCGAUGGCGAAGGCAGCCAUCUGGCCUAAUACUGACGCUGAGGUACGAAAGCAUGGGGAGCAAACAGGAUUAGAUACCCUGGUAGUCCAUGCCGUAAACGAUGUCUACUAGCCGUUGGGGCCCUUGAGGCUUUAG